GACGAACCGUGCGAACGUUACUCGGAAUCACUGGGCUUAAAGAGCACGUAGGCGGCAAUCUAAGUCAGAGGUGAAAUACUAUCGGCUCAACCGUAGAACUGCCUCUGAUACUGGACUGCUUGAGGGAGAACGGGGAAAUCGGAACUUCCGGUGGAGCGGUGAAAUGUGUUGAUAUCGGAAGGAACGCCGGUGGCGAAAGCGGAUUUCUGGGUCUCUUCUGACGCUGAGGUGCGAAAGCUAGGGUAGCGAACGGG
RNAcentral lists this ribosomal RNA (254 nucleotides) under uncultured bacterium. Its description in RNAcentral is "partial 16S ribosomal RNA". It matches the Rfam family "Bacterial small subunit ribosomal RNA", at positions 524 to 776 of the family's 1533-position model. The record is from RNAcentral.